UAUAGCCAUCAUGGCCCUUCUUCUUGUACUUCUUGGGACCUUUCUUCAGUUGUGGGUAUUCAGACUUAAAGUAUCUCAAUUUCUUGCAUUCAUAAAUAAUAAGGGGUUGCUCCUUAUCCUUCUCUUUGCUAUGUUCUCCUUUUGUAGGUGGUCUCUUCCUCAUUUCUUAUCUUCUUUUCUUCAAAAACUUCUUAAACCUUCUAGUAAUGAGGGCCAUUUCAUCAUCCU
This 228-nucleotide long non-coding RNA is filed under the name Elaeis guineensis (African oil palm). RNAcentral describes it as "long non-coding RNA (EGUI_LNC075710)". Lineage: Eukaryota; Viridiplantae; Streptophyta; Magnoliopsida; Arecales; Arecaceae. The record is from RNAcentral.